UCCUGUGUAAACUUGUUCAUUUUCUCCUUUCAAGAUGCCAACGUCUCGGGAGAGAAUGUGCCGCUCGGAAAUGCAGGACAGAUGCCAGGGAAGUCCAGAACACAUUGACAUGUCUGUGUUGUUUGCAACAUGACUUUGUGACUUCAAGGCAUCUGAACAGAAUCUCCACUUCGAGUUCCAUUCCGGAAUAGGAAUGCGUGUGCUGGAUACCUGAUUCCAGACCAUGACACUGAUGUGCUUUCUGAAAAUUCAGGGUUUGCGCUCUGUGGUCAGUGGAAUUGCAACAUGGACUCAAACACACUGUGGACUGUCCUGAAACAAGAUGGCUGGUGUUCUGGGCUGCUCUAAGCUAUGCAUGUUUCCUCUGUAUGUGGCUGGGCAGGGAGCCGUGAUGGCAGCUAGACAGUACCAUCAAUGCAGUUGAAGCAGGAUGGAGUCUGAAGGACCUGACGGUGGUACCAGACUAGUCACUAGUAGACACUUGUUACUGCACUACCUCAAGGUCCUAACUGUUGUACUAGACUGGCCACUAGAAGGAAACUCUUUGCUGUGAAAUGAAGUCAAGGUGUG
Long non-coding RNA from Coregonus clupeaformis (lake whitefish), 570 nucleotides. RefSeq lists it as uncharacterized. The transcript has 10 exons. The record is from RefSeq and is a predicted model, not a curated record. NCBI's taxonomy places the organism in Eukaryota, Metazoa, Chordata, Actinopteri, Salmoniformes, Salmonidae.